CGUCGUGCAGUAGGAUUGGCUCCCCGAUAUUAUUGACCGCAUCUUCGUACAUGAUUGCACAAAAUGGUAAAUCUUCCUGGGAUUGAAAAUCCAAUGAGACGAAACGAAUCGUCAAGUAAUUCCAUUAUCUUGUCUUCAGACGAUGCAAAUGAUCAAGAUACUCAUCUUUAACAAAUUGUUUCAAAAUCAAAUUUACUUGACGAGUAAUUGGAUGUACUGUGCAGCAAUAAAAGGAUCGAAAUCAUCCAACUGUUGCUGUUAAUCCACAAAAAUCCGUUAAGAACAGAGCGUCACUUCCGUCUUCCCAUCACAUCCAGACGAUUUGUGCAGAAAACCAACAGCUACAGCUAAAAAUCACCUCCACCGAUCCAAUUUACUGGAGCUAUUCGAUCGUCGCUUUUCCCCAUCAUUCGUGAAAGCCGUGGCACAGUCCUGCUGCAGGAUCAAGAGAAGUAAAUCGUCUUCGAUCUUCGACGCCUCUUCGUAAUCUGCUUCGUAAAUUGUUGUCGGCUUUCUAAUAUCGUUCACUUCGUCUUUCUUUUAUAAUCAUUCCAGUUGAACUUUCCUGAAUUAUUAAAACUUAUAAAGACGGGGAAAAAAAUAAUGAUGGAAAAAAAAUCGUAUGCGGAUUAUUGAUCACAUUGCAAUUACAGACUUGAGCAAGAUAAUCACAAAUGGAUUAGUACAGAGAGUACAGAUAAUUCCAUUAGUAUAAUUACAUCCACACGACAAAUGGUCAGGACAAUAAGAAACAUAGUUAUAAUUUAUAUAAUAAUAAGAGAUUAACACAAAAGAAUCGAUAUGGAAAUGGAGGUAGAAAAUUUUGAAAUAUUUAAAUUGUUGUUAAAUCAUUCAUCGGUUUGACUGAAAUGGCACGUGACACGCAAUUGUCCGUGACAUUGAAUUGUCCAUUCGCAAUUAUCCGACACGUGCAAUAUCCAUUUACUAUUCAUACUCGAAUCAUACGCAAUUGCGUUUCAUAAAGGAUCAUCGGUGCGUGCGUGCACAUGCAAUCAUGUACUUGAGUUAAUUUUACAGCUAAACAUUACACCAAAGCUAGUAAAUUGGAGCUUUCCAUCUAGCUUUCAGCAAGCCACAAAGUUCAUAACUCAUUUCAAUACAAAACUAAUUCAAUUUGCUUUGAAAAAAGAAAUCCUUUUGG
This is a long non-coding RNA of Nicrophorus vespilloides, 1162 nucleotides long. RefSeq lists it as uncharacterized. Lineage: Eukaryota; Metazoa; Arthropoda; Insecta; Coleoptera; Silphidae. The transcript has 3 exons. The record is from RefSeq and is a predicted model, not a curated record.